Molecule: long non-coding RNA, 463 nt
Organism: Carya illinoinensis
Lineage: Eukaryota; Viridiplantae; Streptophyta; Magnoliopsida; Fagales; Juglandaceae
Exons: 3
Source: RefSeq, a predicted model, not a curated record
CCCAUCCGUCUACACCUAAUAGAUGAAGAAAUUCAUCUUCAAACCCAUCGGUCUACACCUAAUAGAUGAAGAAAUUCAUUUUCAAACCCAUCGGUCUACACCUAACAAAUGAAGAACAAGUUUUCUUCAUCUCUCUUCCAUACUAGCCAACUCCACUUCUCUCUUUUCUUCUCCUCUUCAAGAAAUCAAUCCUCUCACUUUCUUCAAGUUUUGGACCUUCACUUGACCUCUAGAAAGAAUCUAAGAGCUUAAGGAUUUUCUGAAGUUAAAGGAAUUUCAGCAGAUCGAGGUACAGACGAAUCUACUGAGGAGCUGAGUAUUACUGAGGAGGGAGAGGCCGAUGUUUAGUAGUCCCUGGGUAGUUUGGUUUCUUCUAUGAUGAUAUAUGUUUCUUAUGUUUCAAUAAUGGAAACCCUCCUGCUUUAAGUUAGUUUUCUUUUGUAAUGACUAAAGGGACUGAGUC